AUUGAACGCUGGCGGCAUGCCUUACACAUGCAAGUCGAACGGUAACAGGUCUUCGGAUGCUGACGAGUGGCGAACGGGUGAGUAAUACAUCGGAACGUGCCUAGUAGUGGGGGAUAACUACUCGAAAGAGUGGCUAAUACCGCAUGAGAUCUACGGAUGAAAGCAGGGGAUCGCAAGACCUUGUGCUACUAGAGCGGCCGAUGGCAGAUUAGGUAGUUGGUGGGAUAGAAGCUUACCAAGCCGACGAUCUGUAGCUGGUCUGAGAGGACGAUCAGCCACACUGGGACUGAGAAACGGCCCAGACUCCUACGGGAGGCAGCAGUGGGGAAUUUUGGACAAUGGGCGCAAGCCUGAUCCAGCAAUGCCGCGUGCAGGAUGAAGGCCUUCGGGUUGUAAACUGCUUUUGUACGGAACGAAAAGCCCCGGGUUAAUACCCUGGGGUCAUGACGGUACCGUAAGAAUAAGCACCGGCCAACUACGUGCCAGCCGCCGCCGUAA
Molecule: ribosomal RNA, 498 nt
Filed under: uncultured bacterium
Lineage: Bacteria
Description: partial 16S ribosomal RNA
Rfam family: Bacterial small subunit ribosomal RNA
Source: RNAcentral